UACAACAACUGUAAGCUUCGGAGGCCGAGGAUAUCUUGUACCGAAAGCCGGGGUAAACGCUGGGUAGCUAUGUCUGGAGCAAAUAACUGCUGAAAGCAUAUAAGUAGGAAGUUCACCUUAAGAUGAGUGCUCUUUUGUCUCAACCGUUCAUCCUUCUAUAAAGGUAUGUACAACCGAAAGACAAGGAAGGUCACGGCAAGACGAGCCGUUUGAUAGGCAUGAAGUAGACGUGCAGUAAUGCAUUCUGAAGCUGACAUGUCCUAAUAGACCGA
This 272-nucleotide non-coding RNA is filed under the name Micromonas pusilla CCMP1545. RNAcentral's name for it is "Bacterial large subunit ribosomal RNA". It matches the Rfam family "Bacterial large subunit ribosomal RNA", at positions 2682 to 2912 of the family's 2925-position model. Lineage: Eukaryota; Viridiplantae; Chlorophyta; Mamiellophyceae; Mamiellales; Mamiellaceae. The record is from Rfam by way of RNAcentral.